UUAAGUUAUUAAGGGCGCACGGUGGAUGCCUUGGCACUAGAAGCCGAUGAAGGACGUUACUAACGACGAUAUGCUUUGGGGAGCUGUAAGUAAGCUUUGAUCCAGAGAUUUCCGAAUGGGGAAACCCAGCAUGAGUUAUGUCAUGUUAUCGAUAUGUGAAUACAUAGCAUAUCAGAAGGCACACCCGGAGAACUGAAACAUCUUAGUACCCGGAGGAAGAGAAAGAAAAUUCGAUUCCCUUAGUAGCGGCGAGCGAAACGGGAAGAGCCCAAACCAAAAAGCUUGCUUGUUGGGGUUGUAGGACACUCUAUACGGAGUUACAAAGGACGACAUUAGACGAAUCAUCUGGAAAGAUGAAUCAAAGAAGGUAAUAAUCCUGUAGUCGAAAAUGUUGUCUCUCUUGAGUGGAUCCUGAGUACGACGGAGCACGUGAAAUUCCGUCGGAAUCUGGGAGGACCAUCUCCUAAGGCUAAAUACUCUCUAGUGACCGAUAGUGAACCAGUACCGUGAGGGAAAGGUGAAAAGCACCCCGGAAGGGGAGUGAAAUAGAACCUGAAACCGUGUGCUUACAAGUAGUCAGAGCCCGUUAAUGGGUGAUGGCGUGCCUUUUGUAGAAUGAACCGGCGAGUUACGAUUUGAUGCAAGGUUAAGCAGUAAAUGUGGAGCCGUAGCGAAAGCGAGUCUGAAUAGGGCGUUUAGUAUUUGGUCGUAGACCCGAAACCAGGUGAUCUACCCUUGGUCAGGUUGAAGUUCAGGUAACACUGAAUGGAGGACCGAACCGACUUACGUUGAAAAGUGAGCGGAUGAACUGAGGGUAGCGGAGAAAUUCCAAUCGAACCUGGAGAUAGCUGGUUCUCUCCGAAAUAGCUUUAGGGCUAGCCUCAAGUGAUGAUUAUUGGAGGUAGAGCACUGUUUGGACGAGGGGCCCCUCUCGGGUUACCGAAUUCAGACAAACUCCGAAUGCCAAUUAAUUUAACUUGGGAGUCAGAACAUGGGUGAUAAGGUCCGUGUUCGAAAGGGAAACAGCCCAGACCACCAGCUAAGGUCCCAAAAUAUAUGUUAAGUGGAAAAGGAUGUGGCGUUGCCCAGACAACUAGGAUGUUGGCUUAGAAGCAGCCAUCAUUUAAAGAGUGCGUAAUAGCUCACUAGUCGAGUGACACUGCGCCGAAAAUGUACCGGGGCUAAACAUAUUACCGAAGCUGUGGAUUGUCCUUUGGACAAUGGUAGGAGAGCGUUCUAAGGGCGUUGAAGCAUGAUCGUAAGGACAUGUGGAGCGCUUAGAAGUGAGAAUGCCGGUGUGAGUAGCGAAAGACGGGUGAGAAUCCCGUCCACCGAUUGACUAAGGUUUCCAGAGGAAGGCUCGUCCGCUCUGGGUUAGUCGGGUCCUAAGCUGAGGCCGACAGGCGUAGGCGAUGGAUAACAGGUUGAUAUUCCUGUACCACCUAUAAUCGUUUUAAUCGAUGGGGGGACGCAGUAGGAUAGGCGAAGCGUGCGAUUGGAUUGCACGUCUAAGCAGUAAGGCUGAGUAUUAGGCAAAUCCGGUACUCGUUAAGGCUGAGCUGUGAUGGGGAGAAGACAUUGAGUCUUCGAGUCGUUGAUUUCACACUGCCGAGAAAAGCCUCUAGAUAGAAAAUAGGUGCCCGUACCGCAAACCGACACAGGUAGUCAAGAUGAGAAUUCUAAGGUGAGCGAGCGAACUCUCGUUAAGGAACUCGGCAAAAUGACCCCGUAACUUCGGGAGAAGGGGUGCUCUUUAGGGUUAACGCCCAGAAGAGCCGCAGUGAAUAGGCCCAAGCGACUGUUUAUCAAAAACACAGGUCUCUGCUAAACCGUAAGGUGAUGUAUAGGGGCUGACGCCUGCCCGGUGCUGGAAGGUUAAGAGGAGUGGUUAGCUUCUGCGAAGCUACGAAUCGAAGCCCCAGUAAACGGCGGCCGUAACUAUAACGGUCCUAAGGUAGCGAAAUUCCUUGUCGGGUAAGUUCCGACCCGCACGAAAGGCGUAACGAUUUGGGCACUGUCUCAACGAGAGACUCGGUGAAAUCAUAGUACCUGUGAAGAUGCAGGUUACCCGCGACAGGACGGAAAGACCCCGUGGAGCUUUACUGUAGCCUGAUAUUGAAAUUCGGCACAGCUUGUACAGGAUAGGUAGGAGCCUUUGAAACGUGAGCGCUAGCUUACGUGGAGGCG
RNAcentral lists this ribosomal RNA (2187 nucleotides) under Staphylococcus aureus M0167. Its description in RNAcentral is "bacterial LSU rRNA". It matches the Rfam family "Bacterial large subunit ribosomal RNA", at positions 3 to 2188 of the family's 2925-position model. Lineage: Bacteria; Bacillati; Bacillota; Bacilli; Caryophanales; Staphylococcaceae. The record is from RNAcentral.